ACCGGCCGGGUGUAACGCACC
This 21-nucleotide unclassified non-coding RNA is filed under the name Chlamydomonas reinhardtii. RNAcentral's name for it is "small RNA Cre_0270". Lineage: Eukaryota; Viridiplantae; Chlorophyta; Chlorophyceae; Chlamydomonadales; Chlamydomonadaceae. The record is from RNAcentral.